CCCUUGGGCAUUCCUGCCCAGCAAGAAACCCCGCAGUUUGUCUGUACUUAUUGCCACCUACAUGCCUUGCUCAAGGGGCUGCUUGCCAAGGCGGGGAGGGCGAAGGGUCUCCUCUUCCUCCAAGUCCCAGAUCACUAGGAAAUGCCCUUCCCGCCAGACCCACGUGACAAAUACAGUUUGUCAAGGAGAGAGCUCUUCAAACACAUUCAAAUCCUAAAGGCAUCCAAGGUUGGGAGGCAGCUGUGCUGGACGUGCGUAUUUGCAGGGUCAGGCAUGAGGAGAAGGAGGAGGGGCCGGUCCUAAAUGACAGCUUCAGAUAAAUGAGAGUAGUGUACUCCGGGUAGCUCUGAACUCGGGUAGUGCCCUCCCUAGCCCAGAGCAGGUCAGACUCCUCAAACCGCCUGCCCGAGCCUUUCUGCUGUGUGCUCUGGGGCAUGUCUCUCUUUGCUUUCUUGGAUCCUGAGCCAAGGAGGAAAUGUAGUUUGAGUCUUGCUGUAUGGCCAGGGAUCUUUGGACUGGGAAAUGUGCCUGCUCCGUUUACACGCUGGGAUUCCAGGCGCGCGCACCCAAUGCCCUACAACGAUUGCUUUGAAUGCAACUCCAAACAACAACAGCAGCCUCGGCAGUCAUGACAACAGGCCCCGCCCACCAGACCUCCAGCCCAGCUGACAACACGUGAUGGCGACGCUCCUCCGCCCCUGGCGCAGAGGGAGGGCGGGGAGGCGAGGAGGAGGAGGAGGAGGGAGGGAUGACGUUUGCUCUGUCGUCUCCAUGGCUAAAACGCAUAGACGUCAACGCCCCCAGUGUUUAGUGUGUAAUGUUCUUUGGUCUCUAUGGGAACGUCAGGCUGCCCAACACAGGACCCCGGCAACAGGCUUCUGAUUGGUCGGAGGCUAGCAGGGGCGGAGCUUCGGCUCCCGCCCGCUCUGCCCGUGUUGCUGUUUUGGUUGUUGUCUCCCAGCUGUUUAUUUCUGUAACAGAUCUUGGAGGCUGCGGUCUGGAUCCCUCGCCAAGAACCAGAUCCAGGAGAAAACGUGCUCAACGUGCAGCUCUGCUCCUACUGAUUAUAGCCCCACAGAUGACAUCGCUCCAUAGUCACACCAAGUCUCCUGUGGGAGUCUUGCUCCUCGUUCUCAGUGUCUGUUACAGCUCGGUAUUUUAGUGUCAGGACGUCGGCUCCCAGCCCGCAUCUCCGCUCAGCAAUGCCAUUAUCUUCUCAGCCAAGUCCUAGAAAUGGGUUGGCUUCCCAGUUAAUGCUUUUCAUGCUCUCAAAAGCAGUCGGAGCCGUUCAUACCCAAUUCCUGGAUUCAGUGCUACCCCCUGCAGGAUCUGGCUCCAUUUCCUCCGUCUGGUCCUAAUUCUGUGCAAUGACAUCAUUUACCCACAUUUCCCACCGAGAUGCCCAGAUUUCUUCUAGCCGGCGUACAUCAAAAAAAAUUCCAAAUGACCUUGGGUGGAUACUUCGGGUUAAGGACUUUUAUUAUUUUUCUCUCUGUCUGGUAGCAGCCUGCAGUGGCAAAUGGGGUGGGAUGUAGUGAUGUACCCUUGAUUUCUCCAAAUGAACUAAAACCAAACUGAAGAAAGAGCUACACAGUCACUUUUUACAUAUUAAAAUGCCAGAUAUUUGAUAAAUAAUACUACCAUACCGAUGGAGUUAACAUUCCAAGACAUAAUCCACAGAAACUUUUCUACCUGCCUCCCUCAGUUGAGCAUUGAAGCCAAGGUCCAGGGCCUUGGGCAUAUUAGGUGAGCAUGCUACCAGAGCCACACAUUCCCAGCUUCGUUAAAACUGGAAGCAGUUUUAACUUUACCCUGGACUUCCAUCAGUGAAACCAAGUUAGCAUCUGUCUAGAGAUAACAAUCUCUCCUCGGGGCUUUCAGGCAAAUCCUGCUAUUAAAAAAAAAAAAAAGCCUUAAAAUCUUCAGUUCCAGAGUCAGAUAGACUGCACUCACCAGCUCGUGCACAUACAAGUCUGAGAUGUUUCAUAAAAGGUUUCGAUGACCUGAUAACAUGUUUUCAAAACCCAGGGAGAGAGACUGACACAGUACAAAGUUAAAAACAAGAAGUUAAAUGGCUGGCCUAGUCUUGGGAUGGUCAGGGAGCAUCAGUCCCUUGGCUCUAAUGGGAACCCACCACCUCCUCUCCCUUUCAUCUGCCCUGGUGAAUAUCUUUGCUAAUUUCCCUUUGCCCCCUUCUUGGCCUGCCUUACAGCCUGUAAUUCCCUUCAGAGAUGUGAGUGAAAUGAAAUGAAAUUAGGAACUUGCUUAAUGCAAAGAGGACUAAAGGGCACAGCUCUUUAUCCUAAUGAACUUCAUUCUGAUUAAGUCAGGAACUGCAAGCGUUUACUAUUUACCCAGUAAAUGUAUUAGAGAGCCCGGCAAGUCUCCCUCCUGUCUUGACUCUGCCAGCGGGUAUUUGAAAGUCUGAGAUAAGAUCGUUUCUCGACCAUCAUCCAUUGCUUUCUAAUGCUAUUGCUCCUUUCUACAUUUCCAGGAAUACAGAAUGCUGUGGUUUCUAAGAGACAAAAUAUCUGGGUUA
Mus musculus (house mouse) is the source of this 2539-nucleotide long non-coding RNA. RefSeq annotates it as predicted gene, 38543. The transcript is spliced from 3 exons. Lineage: Eukaryota; Metazoa; Chordata; Mammalia; Rodentia; Muridae. The record is from RefSeq and is a predicted model, not a curated record.